UUGGAAAUAAAAGUCGUAACAAGGUUUCCGUAGGUGAACCUGCGGAAGGAUCAUUAAAGAAAUUUAAUAAUUUUGAAAAUGGAUUUUUUUGUUUUGGCAAGAGCAUGAGAGCUUUUACUGGGCAAGAAGACAAGAGAUGGAGAGUCCAGCCGGGCCUGCGCUUAAGUGCGCGGUCUUGCUAGGCUUGUAAGUUUCUUUCUUGCUAUUCCAAACGGUGAGAGAUUUCUGUGCUUUUGUUAUAGGACAAUUAAAACCGUUUCAAUACAACACACUGUGGAGUUUUCAUAUCUUUGCAACUUUUUCUUUGGGCAUUCGAGCAAUCGGGGCCCAGAGGUAACAAACACAAACAAUUUUAUCUAUUCAUUAAAUUUUUGUCAAAAACAAGAAUUUUCGUAACUGGAAAUUUUAAAAUAUUAAAAACUUUCAACAACGGAUCUCUUGGUUCUCGCAUCGAUGAAGAACGCAGCGAAAUGCGAUACGUAAUGUGAAUUGCAGAAUUCCGUGAAUCAUCGAAUCUUUGAACGCACAUUGCGCCCCUUGGUAUUCCAGGGGGCAUGCCUGUUUGAGCGUCAUUUCCUUCUCAAACAUUCUGUUUGGUAGUGAGUGAUACUCUUUGGAGUUAACUUGAAAUUGCUGGCCUUUUCAUUGGAUGUUUUUUUUCCAAAGAGAGGUUUCUCUGCGUGCUUGAGGUAUAAUGCAAGUACGGUCGUUUUAGGUUUUACCAACUGCGGCUAAUCUUUUUUUAUACUGAGCGUAUUGGAACGUUAUCGAUAAGAAGAGAGCGUCUAGGCGAACAAUGUUCUUAAAGUUUGACCUCAAAUCAGGUAGGAGUACCCGCUGAACUUAAGCAUAUCUAUAACC
This 861-nucleotide ribosomal RNA is filed under the name Saccharomyces cerevisiae (brewer's yeast). RNAcentral's name for it is "eukaryotic LSU rRNA". The stretch from base 419 to 572 matches the Rfam family "5.8S ribosomal RNA". The record is from RNAcentral. Lineage: Eukaryota; Fungi; Ascomycota; Saccharomycetes; Saccharomycetales; Saccharomycetaceae.